GUCACCAGUGGACUUACAGCGCCCUCUGUUGGCAGCUGUCAGAUCAAGUCUGAGUCAGAUCUGUUUGGUGGACUGAGGUCACCUCCCUGACACCAGGACCAGAACCAUGUGAAAACCCAACGAAGGCCUCGGCUCGGGUGACCCGUAAAAACCACAGAGAAACAGAACAAACUAAACACUUCUUCAAUAAAGAUGUUUUUAAUUCGUUACCUAAUUCUGUCCGUUUCAGGAGGUCCUGAAUCGUUCUGAAGGCAGGAACCGUUUCUGUGGUUCUGAUCCGAUGAGCUCACACUGCCAGCCAAGCAUCAAGACUGAAAACUGAAAGGAAAACUAAAAAUCUGGUUCCCAUCUAAGCUGUCACUGUGGGGGAGGCAGGGAGGAACCUGGACAUGUCUCCUGUCCAUCGCAGGGACACAUGGAGACAAACGAGACAGACGAGCUUUGAUUGUUGAAAAUGUAAGAUAAUAAAAUCUGUUGCAGAAAGAA
Long non-coding RNA from Austrofundulus limnaeus, 486 nucleotides. RefSeq lists it as uncharacterized. Lineage: Eukaryota; Metazoa; Chordata; Actinopteri; Cyprinodontiformes; Rivulidae. The transcript is spliced from 2 exons. The record is from RefSeq and is a predicted model, not a curated record.